Molecule: ribosomal RNA, 470 nt
Filed under: uncultured soil bacterium
Lineage: Bacteria
Description: bacterial SSU rRNA
Rfam family: Bacterial small subunit ribosomal RNA
Source: RNAcentral
GGAUUGAACGCUGGCGGCAGGCCUAACACAUGCAAGUCGAGCGGUAGAGAGGUGCUUGCACCUCUUGAGAGCGGCGGACGGGUGAGUAAUGCCUAGGAAUCUGCCUAGUGGUGGGGGAUAACGUUCGGAAACGGACGCUAAUACCGCAUACGUCCUACGGGAGAAAGCGGGGGACCUUCGGGCCUCGCGCCAUUAGAUGAGCCUAGGUCGAUUAGCUAGUUGGUGAGGUAAUGGCUCACCAAGGCGACGAUCCGUAACUGGUCUGAGAGGAUGAUCAGUCACACUGGAACUGAGACACGGUCCAGACUCCUACGGGAGCAGCAGUGGGAAUAUUGGACAAUGGGCGAAAGCCUGAUCCAGCCGUGCCGCGUGUGGUGAAGAAGGUCUUGGAUUGUAAAGCUACUUUAAGUGGAAGGAAGGUUGUAACGUUAAUACCGUUGCUAACUUUGACGUUACCGACAGAAUAACGC